This 17-nucleotide ribosomal RNA is filed under the name Dictyosphaerium lacustre. RNAcentral's name for it is "partial 28S ribosomal RNA". The record is from RNAcentral. Lineage: Eukaryota; Viridiplantae; Chlorophyta; Trebouxiophyceae; Chlorellales; Chlorellaceae.
UCGACUGAGCCUGCAAG